GAUGAACGCUGGCGGCGUGCCUAAUACAUGCAAGUCGAGCGAACGGACGAGAAGCUUGCUUCUCUGAUGUUAGCGGCGGACGGGUGAGUAACACGUGGAUAACCUACCUAUAAGACUGGGAUAACUUCGGGAAACCGGAUCUAAUCCCGGAUGAUAUUUUGAACCGCAUGGUUCAAAAGUGAAAGACGGUCUUGCUGUCACUUAUAGAUGGAUCUGCGCUGCAUUAGCUAGUUGGUAAGGUAACGGCUUACCAAGGCAACGAUGCAUAGCCGACCUGAGAGGGUGAUCAGCCACACUGGAACUGAGACACGGUCCAGACUCCUACGGGAGGCAGCAGUAGGGAAUCUUCCGCAAUGGGCGAAAGCCUGACGGAGCAACGCCGCGUGAGUGAUGAAGGUCUUCGGAUCGUAAAACUCUGUUAUUAGGGAAGAACAUAUGUGUAAGUAACUGUGAACAUCUUGACGGUACCUAAUCAGAAAGCCACGGCUAACUACGUG
Molecule: ribosomal RNA, 497 nt
Filed under: uncultured bacterium
Lineage: Bacteria
Description: partial 16S ribosomal RNA
Rfam family: Bacterial small subunit ribosomal RNA
Source: RNAcentral